AUGCUCGCGGCCACUAGCCUCCCCGGUGCUCUAGCCUCCCCGGUGCUCAGGAGGAAGUCGAGGAGCACCGCCGUCCUCUUCUCCGUCGACUUCAACCAUCGGAGCAAGUUGGGAGGGCCUUGCGCGUUGCCAUCGAGCUCAUCUCCGCCUCUGCAUCUUGGCGCUCGCCUUCUUCGAUUCGGCCUCGCCGGAGCCUCCCCGAGCCCACUUUGCACCUCUACAGGCUCAUUGUGA
RNAcentral lists this ribosomal RNA (234 nucleotides) under Triticum aestivum (bread wheat). Its description in RNAcentral is "partial small subunit ribosomal RNA". Lineage: Eukaryota; Viridiplantae; Streptophyta; Magnoliopsida; Poales; Poaceae. The record is from RNAcentral.